RNAcentral lists this non-coding RNA (31 nucleotides) under Mus musculus (house mouse). The record is from RNAcentral. Lineage: Eukaryota; Metazoa; Chordata; Mammalia; Rodentia; Muridae.
UGAUAUGAUACAAAUAAGUCCUGAAGUCCAU